Molecule: ribosomal RNA, 450 nt
Filed under: uncultured bacterium
Lineage: Bacteria
Description: partial 16S ribosomal RNA
Rfam family: Bacterial small subunit ribosomal RNA
Source: RNAcentral
GUGGGGAAUAUUGGACAAUGGGCGAAAGCCUGAUCCAGCCAUGCCGCGUGUGUGAAGAAGGUCUUCGGAUUGUAAAGCACUUUAAGUUGGGAGGAAGGGCAGUAAGUUAAUACCUUGCUGUUUUGACGUUACCGACAGAAUAAGCACCGGCUAACUUCGUGCCAGCAGCCGCGGUAAUACGAAGGGUGCAAGCGUUAAUCGGAAUUACUGGGCGUAAAGCGCGCGUAGGUGGUUUUGUAAGUUGGAGGUGAAAUCCCCGGGCUCAACCUGAGAACUGGCUCCAAAACUGCAUGACUAGAGUACGGUAGAGGGUAGUGGAAUGUCCUGUGUAGCGGUGAAAUGCGUAGAUAUAGGAAGGAACACCAGUGGCGAAGGCGACUACCUGGACUGAUACUGACACUGAGGUGCGAAAGCGUGGGGAGCAAACAGGAUUAGAAACCCGGGUAGUCC